RNAcentral lists this ribosomal RNA (373 nucleotides) under uncultured organism. Its description in RNAcentral is "partial 16S ribosomal RNA". It matches the Rfam family "Bacterial small subunit ribosomal RNA", at positions 527 to 896 of the family's 1533-position model. The record is from RNAcentral.
GUAGGUGGCAAGCGUUGUCCGGAAUUAUUGGGCGUAAAGCGCGCGCAGGCGGUUUCUUAAGUCUGAUGUGAAAGCCCACGGCUCAACCGUGGAGGGUCAUUGGAAACUGGAGAACUUGAGUACAGAAGAGGAAAGCGGAAUUCCACGUGUAGCGGUGAAAUGCGUAGAGAUGUGGAGGAACACCAGUGGCGAAGGCGGCUUUCUGGUCUGUAACUGACGCUGAGGCGCGAAAGCGUGGGGAGCAAACAGGGAUUAGAUACCCUGGUAGUCCACGCCGUAAACGAUGAGUGCUAAGUGUUAGGGGGUUUCCGCCCCCUUAGUGCUGCAGCUAACGCAUUAAGCACUCCGCCUGGGGAGUACGGCCGCAAGGCUG